Molecule: non-coding RNA, 2798 nt
Organism: Nelumbo nucifera (sacred lotus)
Lineage: Eukaryota; Viridiplantae; Streptophyta; Magnoliopsida; Proteales; Nelumbonaceae
Source: RefSeq, a predicted model, not a curated record
UUUAAGACGGAAAGCGGCAGAACAUCAACACGGUUUGCUCGAAGCAGAGGAUCAGCAGGUUGAAUCGAAUCAAAGCUAAGCUGCAGCGGUGCCGGUGCGGGAAUUCAUUAUUAUAGAUAAUUACCCUAUCAUCCUCGUUUCCAUUACAUAGAACUCUGGCGCUUUAGUUUGAGUUAAAUUCUUGUUGUUCUUCGGUUGUUGAUAAGGAAAAAAAAAAAAAAAGAAGAAGAAAAGGAAGCAAUUUAUUGAAAUUAGAUGAGAUAGGAAUUCCUCAUGGAAGAGAACAACACAUGGGUUGCAAGAUACUAAUCACCACAAGACAGAAGGAUAUAUGCGAUGCUAUGGGCAGUAUGGAGGACCGAUCAACCCAAAUCUUUAACCUUCGUGUCUUGACAGAAGAAGAAAGUUGGGAUUUGUUUAAACGGAGCGCAGGUUCGUAUGUGGAGUCUCCAAUAUUUAAAGAUGUGGCAUAUAAAGUUGCUAAAGAGUGUGGAGGUCUACCUCUAGCAUUGAUCAUAGUGGGAAGAGCACUGAAAGGUAAACAGGACAUAAAAAUAUGGGAAGAGGCAGCUAAUGAAUUGAACAAGUCUAGACCUAUCCAUGUGAGAGAUGUUCAGAAGAAGGUGUUGGGAUGUCUAGAGUGGAGUUAUAAUCACCUACCCAACGAGGAAACGAAGCAGUUAUUCUUGUUGUGUUGUUUGUUCCCUGAAGAUCAUAAUAUCAGUGUAAGAAAUGUUGGUGGAGUAUGGAGUAGGUGAGGGAGUAUUUUCAGAUGUGGACGACACAUUGGAAGAAGCAAGGCGCAGAGUACACUUAAAAGAUCGUUGCCUAUUGCUAGCUGCAAAGGAAAGCUAUUUUUCAUUCAAGAAAGAAUACAUGGUGGACAUGUUAGAAUGCAUGAUGUGGUUCGUGAUAUGGGCAUUGAUAUUACAUCAUCGUCUGGGUUAAAAGUCCAUCCUAGCUAAUAAAAUAGAUAACGAUGACUUAAUUAGUUCUAUCAAAUGACCAUCGCCAACCAUUUCCCCUUAUUCUAUUUAAAAGGGAAAGCUUGCCUUAAUAUGUUAAAGGAGCCAAAAGCAACUUGUUAAGCUUUUUAUUCAUCAGUCCUCUCACAAGAUUGUGUUCAUACUGUUCUCACAGUCAUUUAUAAUCACACAUUGAGAAUAUUUCUUCAAAACAUAUAGAUACCGAGAUAUUUUCAAUACACAGAUGCAAGUGGCUGUGAGUGAGGACGAUGUAAGAACAGUUAUACGAAGACAGAAUCCAAUCUCUUUAAGUUUAGACCCAUACCAGAUCUUCACUUCAGCCGAUCGAGAUGGCCUGUACUUGCUUCUUUGUACUAAGGUAUACACUAGCCAAUGAAAUUUACCAAAAUCACGGGGUAUGGUUUCGAUGGUUAAAAGCUCAAAUGCAUUCAAUUGGGGGAUUUAAUUAGCUAUCUAUGUUGGACAGCCCGAGGUGUCAACAGUGUUGGAAAGCCCUGUUCACAGCCUAGCCUGUCAAAUUUCUUGAAAAUUCUAGAAUUAUUAUAUCAAUCGAUACGACCUCUCAGAAAGUAUGUGCACUGGAGAUGCAAUCCAAUCCAUCAAGAGAGCAUAGGAGAUGGGGUUAUAUGAGAACAACAGGUAAGGAAGAACUAAGAACACUGAACUUGUGUAUAAGAGAGCUAGAACGAGGGUGGAGAAUGGAUGAGGAGUUCAGGACGAUAACUCGGCACCGGCAGGUGAUGAGAAUGGCUUAAUGAGAUGGAGGAGAAGCAUAACACAAAAAAUGGCAAGCCGAGUUGGAGAAUCAGCUUAUUACUUCAGACUUGUUUCCAGAUGGAUGCACAACUGAACACAUCCGGCAUUUUCUGCAGGUCUUUAAAUUAUUGAAACCAUCUCUAUGACUCUACGUUCUUUCACAAAGAAAGAAUUGGAGUCACCAUCGCCAUUGUUCUACCGUUAUUAUGUCUUUGAAGAUGAAAAUGUAUUUAGCAACCGAUUAGAGCAACUGCUAAAAGGCUGGCAAGCAGACCCUGAACUUAUGAAUAUAUUAUCAUCAGAUCACGAUCAUGAUGACAACUUGAAGAAGAAGAAGAAGAAGUAGAAGAUGAUAGCAAAACCGCUGGCGAGCUGAAGUGAAGCACCAAUUGUUUGAUAUUUCUUUAAAGAGGUCAAUGAUAAAGUGCACUAAGGAAACACUUAAUGCAAGCCUUGCAUCCUCAUUGGCAUCGUACAAUGUUCGAGGAAUUUGAUGCAGUGAUGUGCAAUGGUGGUAAGUUGCAAGUGUCUUUACAUGGUGAAACAACAAGCUGAUACUUCUGUGGAGCGCUAUAAAGUGAGAUUAGUGGCCUGAGGUUUCUCUUAACAGCCCAGUGUGUUGAUUUAUUUGACACAUUCAUUCCCAUGAUUCAUCAGACUAUACGAUGUGUGCUUUCACUUUCCAUUCACUUUGGAUGGUGUAUGUGGCAGCUUGACAUAAAUAAUGUAUUCCCCCAUGGGCCCUUGCACGAGGAAGUCUACAUGUUGCAACCACAAGUCAUUGUAUGACUUAAAACAGGCUCCCGGAGUGUAGUUUUAGUGCUUAGCCACCCAUCUCCUCUUACUUGGCCUCCUCAAAGGGUCAAAUUCUGACCCAUCUCUAUUCAUCUACAGAUGGGUCUCAAAGAUCAUGUUUUUAUUCAUAUAUGUUGACGAUAUACUUCUCAUGGGUAAUGAUCCUCAAACAGUGGGCUCCCUUAUUCAGCAACUACACUUUGAAUUCGCCUUGAAAGCUUGAGUGAAUGAUGUUUUUUCCUUGGCAUGGAACUUAGUUGU